UGAACGUCUGCUGUCGCCAUCCUGAUGUUC
Molecule: non-coding RNA, 30 nt
Filed under: Mus musculus (house mouse)
Lineage: Eukaryota; Metazoa; Chordata; Mammalia; Rodentia; Muridae
Source: RNAcentral